UCACAGUUUAAAAAGUUUAUUAUCAUACAAUGUGCCAUGUCAUUUGAUAGAUGGUAGGAAGAACCACUAUGAAUAGUUGCUUGUAGUUAUACCCACAUUACAAAACACCUUGGUGAUAAAUAUUUCAUUACACAAUCAACUGUAAUCCUAAUGGCCAUGGAAUUUGGAUUUCUUAAGUGUCCCAAUGCCAGUGAAUAAACCUCAUCUACAGUAAAGAUGUAAAACCAGUGUAGUCGAUUCAUCUCUUAGACCAUAGAAAUGGCAUUGGUUGGAGCAUCAACAUUGCUAUUAGUAGUCCUUGUGCUUCAAAGUGCAUAGGAACCAACUUUUUUUUAGAAAAAAACCUUGACAUUUGAGAGAACUCAAGGCUUUAAAAUGACAUCUGGACAGAGUCAUAAUUUUGAAUUAAACAAUGAAUAUCUUUUUGUAAUGCAUGUGCAUGAGAUGCAAGACCAUUUCUUCAAGGCACAAUUCUGGAAUUACUAUUUAAUGGAUUAAGACCAUAUCAGCAUGCUUUUCUUUUGUCAUAUAGCCAAGGGGAUGCUUCUUUUUUUUUUUUUUUUUUUAAGUUGCACAAAAACAACUUAAUCACAACACUGUCAGCUCCAUAUUGUCAGUUCAUGAAACAGAAAGACUCAAAGACCAUCUAACACUGAAAACAUCAAUAUGACGUGGAGGACGUUAUAGUACAUGGGUGAAAGAGGUAUCUCUUCAAUGAGGUUGUUUACAUGGAAGGGAAUCACAUUUUGUAGCAUUUUCCAUCAUUUGUUAUAGACGUGCAAGUUAAAGCAAUAGUUAUUACAAUACGACCCCCCCCCCGGCCCAAAGACAAGGACUAAACAGUGGAGGUUGCUAUCAAACCCUACGCUCUACUAAAAUUAGAGUAAAAAUAAGAAAAAAGGCACAUAUACAGCAGCAAGUCUGUCUUUGUGAGUCGUGUUGUAAAGUCUGUGUCGUUGAGAGGCGGGGGAGGGGCCGUUGUGUGGUUGGGUUGCUGCCCUCUGACACGGCUCUCUCUCACGGGCCUAGUGGUCAGUCGCCGUGACGAGUUCGAACCACUGCCUCAGCGCGUCACUCAGAGUCUCUGGCAAGGCGUUGACGUCACGCAGGAUCACGUAGAAGGGGAACGGAAACUCGUCCAUGUAGGUGCGGAUCUCGGGCAUCUCUCCUGGACCUUUGAAGAUGGGCACCUUGAUGUCCAGGAUGGAGUCC
This is a long non-coding RNA of Esox lucius (northern pike), 1212 nucleotides long. Lineage: Eukaryota; Metazoa; Chordata; Actinopteri; Esociformes; Esocidae. The record is from Ensembl.